CGUAGGCUUGCCUCCAGCCUGAUCUUUCAUAGAAGCAUUUUCUCAGUUGAGAAUCUCUCCUCUGAUGACUCUAACUUGUGUCAAACUGACACAAAACUAACCAAGACACAUCUUAUUUCAUUUCCUAGAUGCUCUAACAAAAACGUGCUGCAUUUUGGUCAGCCAUGAAUUAUUACUGUUUAACAGAGUCUGCCUUCAGUUUGUCAUCACAGCAGAAAGCCAGAGAAAACCUUCAGUUUCUAUCUGAGUUGGAAGUCAACUGCCCUUUUGGCUCCGGUGCUGUUACACCACAGGACAGUCCUCCCUCCACCUCUCCUCCCACUACCCAGCAGCCUUUUCACCUCCAGAACUCACAGUGAGUCCAGAGAUCAAGGCAUUUCCAGUUAUUGUCCACCCCACCCAGGCUAAUCCUCUAAAUUGGUAUCCUUACCAGGCUUGACACUUAAACAAGCUCAGGUAGGCAAUAAAGGAGGACCAUGUCCCUUGGACUAAAUUUCUCCACCAAAGCCAAAUCUCCAUUUUUAAACCUGUCCCAGGAUUGGCAGGAUCUCUCUCUAGCCAGCCAGCUUUUCUGACCCUGGGAGGCUCUCUACAGAGACAAAUGCUUCCAGCAGGUCAUGUGGAAGCAGAGACAUGGGGAUGAUACCACAAGGGGCUAUGAUAAGCUUUUCAGCCCAGGGAGCUUUCUCCACAGGAGCCCAGCAGGCAGCCCAGGCAGCAGGAUGCCUCUGUGGCACUUCAAGCAUGGGACAGAAUCACCCCACCCUCCAGGUCACAAUAUCCUGCCUCAUCCGUGUUUUACAACUCCACCAAAGACUGAAAGACUGUCUCUGACUUUAUUCUUAGGACUGAAAUAAGUUUAUAAAGAAUUUCUGACCCUGCAGCCAAAGCCCUUUAACACAUGAUUUGGAAGGGUAUGGCUACUUAGUGCAAGCUCUCCUGUCAAGGUCUCAAUGAUGAACACUACAAUAGCUGGAUUGUGGCCACUCAGGAUAUUGAGACAUCAUCCUUCAGGCUGCUUCCAUUGCCCAGGUCUUCGCUGCAGGGAUAAAACAGAAGAGGUUUGCUUUAAAUGUGGAACAAAGGGACACCAGGAAGUUUGCUUAUCUGGUGGAUUUCAUUGGUAGAUUUCCAUAUGUUGAACCAUCCCUGUAUCGCUGAGAUGAACUAUACUUGAUUAUGGUGGGUGAUCUUUCGGAUGUAUUCUUGGAUUGAAUAUGUGAGUAUUUUUGUGUCAAUGUUCAUGACAGAAAUUGGUCUGUAAUUCUUUCUUUGUUGAAUCUUUGUGUGGUUUGGGUAUCAAGGUGAC
Molecule: long non-coding RNA, 1309 nt
Organism: Mus musculus (house mouse)
Lineage: Eukaryota; Metazoa; Chordata; Mammalia; Rodentia; Muridae
Product: predicted gene, 42198
Exons: 3
Source: RefSeq, a predicted model, not a curated record